Molecule: ribosomal RNA, 253 nt
Filed under: uncultured bacterium
Lineage: Bacteria
Description: partial 16S ribosomal RNA
Rfam family: Bacterial small subunit ribosomal RNA
Source: RNAcentral
UACGUAGGGCGCGAGCGUUGUCCGGAAUUAUUGGGCGUAAAGGGCUCGUAGGCGGUUUGUCGCGUCGGGAGUGAAAUCAUCUGGCUUAACUGGGUGCUUGCUUUCGAUACGGGCAGACUAGAGGUAUGCAGGGGAGAACGGAAUUCCUGGUGUAGCGGUGAAAUGCGCAGAUAUCAGGAGGAACACCGGUGGCGAAGGCGGUUCUCUGGGCAUGAUCUGACGCUGAGGAGCGAAAGUGUGGGGAGCGAACAGG